This 253-nucleotide ribosomal RNA is filed under the name uncultured bacterium. Its description in RNAcentral is "partial 16S ribosomal RNA". It matches the Rfam family "Bacterial small subunit ribosomal RNA", at positions 524 to 776 of the family's 1533-position model. The record is from RNAcentral.
UACAGAGGGGGCAAGCGUUGUUCGGAAUUACUGGGCGUAAAGGGCGCGUAGGCGGCCUGUUAAGUCGAACGUGAAAUCCCCGGGCUCAACCCGGGAACUGCGUCUGAUACUGGAAGGCUUGAAUCCGGGAGAGGGAUGUGGAAUUCCAGGUGUAGCGGUGAAAUGCGUAGAUAUCUGGAGGAACACCGGUGGCGAAGGCGGCAUCCUGGACCGGCAUUGACGCUGAGGCGCGAAAGCUAGGGGAGCAAACGGG